RNAcentral lists this ribosomal RNA (497 nucleotides) under uncultured bacterium. Its description in RNAcentral is "partial 16S ribosomal RNA". It matches the Rfam family "Bacterial small subunit ribosomal RNA", at positions 28 to 507 of the family's 1533-position model. The record is from RNAcentral.
GAUGAACGCUGGCGGCGUGCCUAAUACAUGCAAGUCGAGCGAACAGACGAGGAGCUUGCUCCUCUGACGUUAGCGGCGGACGGGUGAGUAACACGUGGAUAACCUACCUAUAAGACUGGGAUAACUUCGGGAAACCGGAGCUAAUACCGGAUAAUAUAUUGAACCGCAUGGUUCAAUAGUGAAAGACGGUUUUGCUGUCACUUAUAGAUGGAUCCGCGCCGCAUUAGCUAGUUGGUAAGGUAACGGCUUACCAAGGCAACGAUGCGUAGCCGACCUGAGAGGGUGAUCGGCCACACUGGAACUGAGACACGGUCCAGACUCCUACGGGAGGCAGCAGUAGGGAAUCUUCCGCAAUGGGCAAAAGCCUGACGGAGCAACGCCGCGUGAGUGAUGAAGGUCGUCGGAUCGUAAAACUCUGUUAUUAGGGAAGAACAAAUGUGUAAGUAACUAUGCACGUCUUGACGGUACCUAAUCAGAAAGCCACGGCUAACUACGUG